This 264-nucleotide unclassified non-coding RNA is filed under the name Bombus terrestris (buff-tailed bumblebee). RNAcentral's name for it is "misc RNA ENSBTSG00005038877.1". Lineage: Eukaryota; Metazoa; Arthropoda; Insecta; Hymenoptera; Apidae. The record is from RNAcentral.
AAUCGUGAUUCGCGUUCGAGGAAACUCUAAAGACUUCACAGGUUGGCAGAUUUUCUGGAAUCUCGGCCGGCGAAUUAUCUGUUCACGAUUCGACGAUCAAAGGCCGACAGCACGGCACACGCGUGACCUGGAAUUUCCGGCGACUCAAGUAAAUGUAAACGGAAACCGACCCUUCUUACUGCAAAUGGCGGCCUGCAAAGGGAGAUACGGUCUUGAUCCCCUCGUUACGUGCACCACGAAAUUUGCCAACCACCUGUAAUACUG